This is a long non-coding RNA of Dromaius novaehollandiae (emu), 467 nucleotides long. RefSeq lists it as uncharacterized. The record is from RefSeq and is a predicted model, not a curated record. Lineage: Eukaryota; Metazoa; Chordata; Aves; Casuariiformes; Dromaiidae. The transcript is spliced from 3 exons.
UUUCUUUCAGAUGUGCAGCACAGGUGGAGACUGCCCCCUCAAGCACUCUUUCUUAAAUGGGUGAACGGAUUGGGAAAGAGUCUCCGAGUGUUUCAGGGCACUUUGUUUCUGCACAUUGCCAGUGGGCGACUGAUCCAGAGAGUCCCAGAGAUCCCAUGCUUCCAGUGCCAAUGCAUCACUGCUGCUACUUCCAGGAGAAAAUGUGUGUGCUCUGGAAAGAUAUCUAAUGUCUGGCUAGAGCUGCACAUGCGGAAAUGUGGAGAAAAGAUGGCUGAGAUGAGCUGCAGUUUUCACAGUGCUCAGAAGACCGGGCCCCAAGUGCUCUCUGCAGCUGAGCUGGCUCCAGUGCCUCUGUCCCUCUCUGAUCUCAUUGCUCUGCCUGCGCCACGUGGAGAUGAUGGCCUUGGGAGCUGGUGCAAACGCAGUGUGCUGCCAUGCACCAUGCAGACACGUGGCUAGUAUCUGUA